This 70-nucleotide transfer RNA is filed under the name Ictidomys tridecemlineatus (thirteen-lined ground squirrel). Its description in RNAcentral is "Spermophilus tridecemlineatus (thirteen-lined ground squirrel) tRNA". It matches the Rfam family "tRNA". Rfam says of the family: Transfer RNA (tRNA) molecules are approximately 80 nucleotides in length. Their secondary structure includes four short double-helical elements and three loops (D, anti-codon, and T loops). Further hydrogen bonds mediate the characteristic L-shaped molecular structure. tRNAs have two regions of fundamental functional importance: the anti-codon, which is responsible for specific mRNA codon recognition, and the 3' end, to which the tRNAs corresponding amino acid is attached (by aminoacyl-tRNA synthetases). tRNAs cope with the degeneracy of the genetic code in two manners: having more than one tRNA (with a specific anti-codon) for a particular amino acid; and 'wobble' base-pairing, i.e. permitting non-standard base-pairing at the 3rd anti-codon position. RNAcentral also lists the same sequence under 1 other name. Lineage: Eukaryota; Metazoa; Chordata; Mammalia; Rodentia; Sciuridae. The record is from Rfam by way of RNAcentral.
GGGGAUAUAGCUCAGUUGGUAGACUGUUUGCCUGACAUGCAAAAAGCCCUGGGUUUAAUCCCUAGCACCA